GGGGACGUUACGGAUUCGACAGGGAUAGUUUGAGCUUAAGUUGCGAGUCGAGGGGAUCGGCCUCGUUAAAACGUCAACGCCAAUAAUAACUGGCAAAGAAAACAAUAACCUCGCUUUCGCUGCUUAAUAACAGCUGAGCGGAUCCUCCCUCCAUCGCCCAUGUGGUAGGGUCAGGGUCUCACUCUUAGUGGGCUACGCCGGAUGUCCUCCGCCUGUGGACGAAGGAAGAGACCAAUCAGGCUAGCACUUCCGACGCCCGUCGAUAGGCAAACGAAGCUGUGAAACACUAAUAUAUCGACUAUGCUCGUAGACGCUUAAGUGGCAAUAUUUCUGGACGCGGGUUCGACUCCCGCCGUCUCCAUUU
RNAcentral lists this transfer-messenger RNA (364 nucleotides) under Bacillus chungangensis. It matches the Rfam family "transfer-messenger RNA". Rfam says of the family: Bacterial tmRNA, also known as 10Sa RNA or SsrA, is named for its dual tRNA and mRNA-like properties. Its role is to liberate the mRNA from a stalled ribosome. To accomplish this part of the tmRNA is used as a reading frame that ends in a translation stop signal. Lineage: Bacteria; Bacillati; Bacillota; Bacilli; Caryophanales; Bacillaceae. The record is from RNAcentral.